RNAcentral lists this long non-coding RNA (3370 nucleotides) under Nicotiana benthamiana. RNAcentral describes it as "long non-coding RNA (NBEN_LNC041374)". Lineage: Eukaryota; Viridiplantae; Streptophyta; Magnoliopsida; Solanales; Solanaceae. The record is from RNAcentral.
CUAAAUGCAGUGGUCUUGGGUUGUCAUGUUCAAACUCUAUCAAAUUGCUCCAUACCUGAAUGGGAAAAAUAAUAUAUAAAAGAGUUAGCGACUUAAGACACAUGUGAAGCCACGACGCCUUCUAUUGGACACAUAAAAGACAAGAUUGGGUUAUUUUUAAAAAUUAACCUACAUGGCCAAGAGUGACUAUUAAUGCAAACUCAAUAAAGGUGACCUCUCAGACAUAAAAAUAUACCUCAUUAAGGUUUAUAUGAAUUCAAACUCCCAAUAAUCAUGGCCCAAAAUUAAUUCGCAGGAAUGAACAAAUUUGCAGAAUGAACAAUGUGGCCAGAAGUGGCUAAAGAUGUAAACUCAAUAAGGAUGAGCUUCAACGUAAUAUGAAACCUAUUUAUGGACUCAAGAUGCUAAGACAUGGGUCAUUGAACCACUUUUGCAAAAAUAACCCCGUUUUGCAAGAAUGACCGGUGUGACCAAAAGUGGCUAAAGAUGCAAACUCAAAAAGGAAGGACCUUAAAGUGAUAUGACACCUAGUUAUGGACUCAAAAUUCUAAGACAUGGGUUAUUGAACCACUUUUGUGAAAAUCACUCCAUUUUGCAACGAUGACCGACGUGGCCAAAAUUGGCUAAACAUCCAAGAUAUGGCUAAGGCCCCGCAAAGCUAAGAACCUAGGACUCACUAGGAAGACGAUAACCUAUGUGGGUUGCCAACAUAUCCCGCCCCGAAAUAUGAGAAUCAUGUUUGCGUAGUUCGGGAAGAUUGGACAUGGGAGAAAGCCUUGAAAAAAAUGCAACUAAUUAAGAAAAAAUAUACUUUUUGUCUUUUUGGAAAAAUGUAAAAUCUCUUUUGAAUUUUCACUUUUCAAUUUAUUUUUUGUCUUUUUGGAAAGUAAUGGAAAGGUGUACAAUCUUUUUUUUGGAUUUUCUUUUCAUUUUUAUUUUUGAAAAACCAUGAAUGAAAAUGUGAGCGGGCCCUACUUUACUUUAUAUUUCGCCUUCAAAUAUUCUUGGUCUACCAAAUGACCCAUUUACCCUUAAAGAGAAGCAACAUGUAGCACAUAGGGAUGAUAAAAUGUCUUUUUGGGCCACAAGCCCAUUUUUGACAUAAUUUGGAAAGGCCUCCUUCAACGGGACACGACGCCUGGGACCGAACCUUGCUAAGUUUAAAAUGAUAUGAUGCAAAUAAGUAUGACCUAAAGGCUGACCUACGGUUGGGUUUCACUAAACAAGGCAAUUCGGGGCGGCACGUGGUUAAUGGCGGCUGCUCUAGCUGUCCGCCCACUCCACGCUCCCACACCACCCCCCUAAAGACAUGGGUGACUCACAAAAAAGCCAUGUACGCUCAAACGUACUUCGGAAGAAUUGUUGUAGAAAGAAGAUUCAGGGUUAUGCAAAUGAUAGCCAUAAAGCAAUAAUAACAUAAAACAAAAAAUUGUAAGUACACAAGCAACUAGCAAAUAAUAACAAAAAUAUAAAAACAUAAUAAAACUCAAGUAAAGUUAAUGAAAAAGCAUAAAAACCUCAACCAAAUAUUCAAAAAGCCAACAAAAUCAAAUACUAGCUCGAACCUGCAAGUCCCCAGCAGAGUCGCCAGAGAUGUCACACCCUUUCUUUUUAAAAAACCUCACUAAACCCUCUUAAUUUAAAAUAUUUUUUAGUAAAAGCAUGAAAAGGGUUUUAAAUUGAAAAGUGACAAAAUAUGUUCAAAAGGAAAUAAUUUAGAGUCGCCACCUGACAAUUAAUUUCGGUGUGCCAAGUCACCAUUUUAAAAAUAAUUUUUCCUUUUGAAACGUUUCAGACUCUAAAACCAAGUCUGCACCAGAGAUUAGGGUAAGCGGGUUUAUUUGAAUCAGGGAGAAGGUGUUAGGCACUUUUUUUUUCCCAAGUCUCGUAACUAGUACGGUUGCACACUCAAUCUAGUUGGCUUUUAGAAUAUUCAAGUUGAGGUAAAAAUAAAAUAGAAAAGGAAAUAAUAAACACACAAAAGGCUCGAGGUCGUCCCUACCUAAUAAAAGAAAUUGAAAAGGAAAAAGAAAAUAAAAGUCCUAAGCUAACCAAUACUACGACUUCUCCACCAUGCUCGUCGAGGCCUCCAAAAUAUUUACAUAGUUCUUCAGGGCAUACCUCGGAUAAUAAUAUUUACGAACUUCACGGGGCAUUCCCCGGAUAAAUUUAACUACGGAAAUAACCUCUCGCAUCAAAUUAAAAGCAUCAAAUAGAAAAAUCCUAAGAUUGACUACCUUUUAAUUUGUUUUUUUUUCUCUAAAAUAAAAUUUGUUCUGCUGCCUAAGUAUUCUAGGAUCUCCUGCUUUGAUACCAUUAUAUCUGGAAUGUAAGUCAUAACACAUUAUACAUGGUAUAGACUCUAGAAAAAUGAUUCACCGUAAUUUAUGCUCUAUUCACAGUAUAAUUAACUAAAAUUUGCAAUUUGACUAUCGAACGAUCACUUAAAUGUUCUAAUGUGGAAAAACAUCAGAUCACUUUAAAGAGAAGACAAUACACAUCACAUGGCCAUAUAUAUCAUAAACAUAUAUAUCAAAUUCAGAAGAAUAAAGCAUGUGAAAGAGAAUUGGAUCUUAAAUUUUUCCUGCAAAUUUAAAUCAUUGGACGAACCCCCAGCAGAAAUGUUUAUCGGAGUGCGAUGGGAAAUUAGCAACAACAACCUGGACCGGAACCUUAACGACGACGGAAACUCGACAGCGAAUUAGCCCGAACUACUGUUCAUACUUGAAAGGUUUAGAGCUGUUCUUUGAGGUGUUGUUUCACUGCAUUUUUAGACUAUUUCGGGGCGGUUUGCGGCUGUCAGCUCCAUGUCCAGCGAACUGGAUGGUGAAGGUUGUAUGUGUGUAUGUUUUGAGGCAGCAGAGGGUGGUGUUUCUUGGCGAGGAGGGUAUGGUUCUGGUGGCUAUAGUGUUCGAGGUUGAAGGGUAGUCAAUGGCUGAAAGUCUGGUGUUCUUUUUGUUUGAUGGCGUGAAGGAGAUGGAGGAGGGAGCGGCAGCGGCUUCCGGCGAGCUGCUGUUUCAGUGAAGGUGGGUGCGUUUUGGUCUUUACGGUGAUGAGCGGUAUUUUAGGGUGUUUGUUUGGUGUGAAGGGGUGGUGGGGUAAGUUGAUGCGGCGGCUAGGGUUCUCUGAUCUCUAGGGUUCCAUGUUGUCUUCCACUGUUAGGGUUUCUUUAGGUCUUGUAUGUCUAAGGUUUUUUAAUGUCUCUCAAGAGAAAAAUCUGAUGGGUUCAUGGGUUUUUGGGCUUGGGUCAUGGGUCUAUAGGCUAUUUGGGCUAAAGGGGUUUGGGUUGGUUCAAAAUUGUUUAAGAAAAUUUAAAAAUGGGACUAGUUGUGGAAUUGUUCAAAUUCUUUUAACUAAAAUCCCAAAUCUU